RNAcentral lists this ribosomal RNA (99 nucleotides) under uncultured bacterium. Its description in RNAcentral is "partial 16S ribosomal RNA". The record is from RNAcentral.
CCUUCGGUUGUAAACCUCUGUCACCGGGAAGAAACGCUUCAGGUUAAUACCCUUGAAGCCUGACUUAACCCGGAGAGGAAGCAGUGGCUAACUCUGUGC